Carya illinoinensis is the source of this 1690-nucleotide long non-coding RNA. RefSeq lists it as uncharacterized. The transcript has 2 exons. NCBI's taxonomy places the organism in Eukaryota, Viridiplantae, Streptophyta, Magnoliopsida, Fagales, Juglandaceae. The record is from RefSeq and is a predicted model, not a curated record.
GAGGAGGGUUACGGUGGUUGCUUGCUUUCCAGGAUUUUAGCCAUUCCUACAGGAAGGAAGAAGGGGCUGAGUCACGACGGAAGGGAUCCUACCUGGCUUGGUAUACUGGAGCCACUACUUGUUGGUAUUUUUUAAGGAAAAAUGAUAGAUACAACCGCUUGGUGCAACCGGCGUGUCCACGUCACCCAUUUUAUAUUUUCUCCUCCCUCCCUCUCCAUUUCGUUCCCCCUCUCUCCCGCUCAAAAUUUCAUUUCUCCCUCCCUCCAUCCCCAUCUCAGUUGAACCACUCCCCCUCCCUUGAAGAUGCCUAGUGCCCCAUGCACGUCCGUCUCCUUCAGAAAACCAAACAGGUAUGGCCCAUGGCCCCCCUUUCUGAGCAAAGAAACCAACACUGCCGCAAACCUUUGGGCUUCAGUGAAGCAUUCCACCUCGUAGCUGCCGUCACCACACGUGAAUCCCUUCAAGCAAGGCGACUCCAACCAUCUCGCAAGGCACUGCUUCACGUUGGAGACUCCAUGAAAACAGCCCAGCAAACCUCCCCGUUGCCAUUACUCCUCUGUUUUAAAGCGCCAAAACAGAGCAAUUUUGUGCUUUCAGCCCAGAUCCCUCUCACGCACGACCACCCACUUAAAACCGAUGCCAACUACACCCAAGCCACCGAAAGCCUCUGUUUCCCGCACCAAAACACAGAGCACCCACUCUCUACCGUGAGCCACUGCAAACCCACCGUCACCAAGACAUAGAACAAGAUCAUGGGACACUCCAACGUGUGGAAUUCUCACCCUAAGAACUACGGCCCUGGCUCCCGCGCCUGGUACGGAAUAUCUCUUCUUCUCUUCCAACCUGUUUGGUCCCCGAGAAAUUAUCAUUGAUCGAAAGAAAUCUAACUUGUUCCCAUCCUUGACAGGCUUCUGAUUUAUUUACAGAAGUACGGCCUCAUGUGUUGUAGGCAAUGGUUCCGCAGCAACGCCAAGGAAAUUGGCUUCAUUAAGGUAUUAUUCUUCUAAUGAGUUUAUUGUCCUACUCUGAACGUUGGUUUUGAUUGUUUGAUUUAUCGUCUAUUAGAUUUUUCUCAUGAGUAUUCAGUGGCUUGGUCUGUUGAGAAGCUGACCCACGAGGUGGUCGGAAGUUUCUGUGCGAGGUGAAGAUAGGCUGAGGGCCAAGAGAAUUUGCUCUGUUUUUUCCUUCCCAAAACAGAGAACACGGUGGAACAUGUCUUACGGCAUUAUGGUUGCUGCGGUUUGCCGUCGGUUGAUCAUCUAUGGAGGAGAGGCUCACAGUGUGGAGGGUGUUGCUCGGUUUUGGUUUCUCACGUUGUGUUUCUUUCAUUUUGAAGCAUGGGAUUGUAUUUGGCAGAAUAGUUGAAAGAAAUGGCAGUAGGAAUAGAAAAUAGUGGCCAAAGGUUCUUGUGGGUGGUAAAAAAUCCUCCACUAGAGGAGUAUGAGCUUGCCAAGCUCUACUGCAGUCAGGUGGCUUUUGCCUGCACAGGGGUAUAGAACUAUGGCAUCGUCCAUGUUGAAACAAAGCAGCAGCGUGAAGAGAGAAUGGAGGGAAGAGAGGGAUUUGAAGUGAAGAAGUUAAAGAGAGAGAUGUCUGUUACUUUUUGUUUUUCGGCUUUUUUUUAUCUUUUAUAAUUCCGCGUAAGUUUCACGUACGGCCGGUUAUCUCAGUUCCUCACGUCGGUUGUCCC